CAGUAGCCACGGGAAGACAGAGGAUGCAAGCGUUAUCCGGAAUGAUUGGGCGUAAAGCGUCUGUAGGUGGCUUUUCAAGUCCGCUGUCAAAUCCCAGGGCUCAACCCUGGACAGGCGGUGGAAACUACCAAGCUGGAGUACGUUAGGGGCAGAGGGAAUUUCCGGUGGAACGGUGAAAUGCGUUGAGAUCGGAAAGAACACCAACGGCGAAAGCACUUUGCUGGGCCGACACUGACACUGAGAGACGAAAGCUAGGGGAGCAAAUGGGAUUAGAUACCCCAGUAGUCCCUGUCUCUUAUAA
This 301-nucleotide ribosomal RNA is filed under the name uncultured bacterium. RNAcentral describes it as "partial 16S ribosomal RNA". It matches the Rfam family "Bacterial small subunit ribosomal RNA", at positions 509 to 809 of the family's 1533-position model. The record is from RNAcentral.